GGGACCCUGUGAUUGUGCAAGGGGAAGUCACGAACACCGCACAGUCCUGCAAGCUUCUUAGAGUCCUUGUCGUCACGAACACCGCACAGUCCUGCAAGCUUCUUAGAGUCCUUGUCGUCACGAACACCGCACGGUCCUGCAAGCUUCUUAGAGUCCUUGUCGUCACGAACACCGCACGGUCCCGCAAGCUCCUUAGAGUCCUUGUCGCCAGCCCAGGGCCCUUGGCUCACUUCUGAGGAGGUGAAUGGAAGCCACGGUCUUCCCGCCUUUAGUUCUGCGAACAGGGUCCACUGACCCCACCCGUCUCCUGGGAGCUGCCAGGUGGAAGAUGAUCACCUGUUUCUUCCUCGAAAGCCCUGGGCCUGAAGAGCUAUGCAGUGGGGACGGUGAGUUCUGCUCUCUCAGAGAUGCUCCAGGUCGUGCGACUCAGCACAAUGGUCAUAGCCUCCCACCAGUGGGCACCUUUGUCUUGGGGUCUGUGGUAAGAGAAGCCACAUGAGACCACCAUAUUCCACCUCUGAGCUCUCCAGCAAGGCCUCCUCCCAUCCCACCAAUGCAGGCCUCUGCCACACUGUGUCCUCCCUGCCCAGGGUCAGCAGUGGCCCUGGUCUCGGGCCAUCCUGAUCUCCAGUCUGUGGCUGGUCAUCUUCCAGCACAAAUACCAAGCGUGCGCUGCUCCUGAGUUCCAAAGACUUCCCAUUGUCCCCAGCAGCACACCCCAGGGGCGCACAAAAUGUUUCCAGGAAAAUAUUCAGCUUUGCUACUACUCAGCAGACGGGGGGACCGUGGCACCCCCGGCCUCAGCCAGACCGUCCGCUGCACACCUGCAUGGCACUGACUGAACAUGACGUGUCCGAUCAACACGGGGCCAUGCCUCCGAGAACGCGACUGCAGCUCUCCCUGCACCUCUGUCCCAUCUUCAGCUACAGAACCGGAGCUCCAUACGCGGGCCUGGGGGUCAUCUGAAUGUAAACUUCACUUUAGAGUCACCAUACUCUCAUAAUCUACACUGUUUUAAUAAAAUCUUAGUAAUUCUCUGUAAGGAGAUGACGAGUGACCAUGGAAAUAUUUCAUCUCGUGCAGGGUCUCAUUGUUU
Molecule: long non-coding RNA, 1096 nt
Filed under: Homo sapiens (human)
Lineage: Eukaryota; Metazoa; Chordata; Mammalia; Primates; Hominidae
Description: HSALNT0131254
Source: RNAcentral